GGUGGUUUAGCUUAAUGGUUUAGAGCACCACGACCUGUAAUCACGGAGGUGUGAGUUCGAGUCUCAUAGCCGGCC
This is a non-coding RNA of Octopus bimaculoides (California two-spot octopus), 75 nucleotides long. The record is from Rfam. NCBI's taxonomy places the organism in Eukaryota, Metazoa, Mollusca, Cephalopoda, Octopoda, Octopodidae.